This 497-nucleotide ribosomal RNA is filed under the name uncultured bacterium. RNAcentral describes it as "partial 16S ribosomal RNA". It matches the Rfam family "Bacterial small subunit ribosomal RNA", at positions 28 to 507 of the family's 1533-position model. The record is from RNAcentral.
GAUGAACGCUGGCGGCGUGCCUAAUACAUGCAAGUAGAACGCUGAAGGAAGGAGCUUGCUCUUUCCGGAUGAGUUGCGAACGGGUGAGUAACGCGUAGGUAACCUGCCUGGUAGCGGGGGAUAACUAUUGGAAACGAUAGCUAAUACCGCAUAACAGUAGAUGUUGCAUGAUAUCUACUUAAAAGGUGCAAUUGCACCACUACCAGAUGGACCUGCGUUGUAUUAGCUAGUUGGUGAGGUAACGGCUCACCAAGGCGACGAUACAUAGCCGACCUGAGAGGGUGAUCGGCCACACUGGGAGUGAGACACGCCCCAGACGCCUUCGGGAGGCAGCAGUAGGGAAUCGUCGGCAAUGGACGGAAGUCUGAGCGAGCAACGCCGCGUGAGUGAAGAAGGAUUUCGGAUCGUAAAGCUCUGUUGUAAGAGAAGAACGAGUGUGAGAGUGGAAAGUUCACACUGUGACGGUAUCUUACCAGAAAGGGACGGCUAACUACGUG